Molecule: transfer RNA, 77 nt
Filed under: Burkholderia ubonensis
Lineage: Bacteria; Pseudomonadati; Pseudomonadota; Betaproteobacteria; Burkholderiales; Burkholderiaceae
Description: tRNA-Met
Rfam family: tRNA
About the family: Transfer RNA (tRNA) molecules are approximately 80 nucleotides in length. Their secondary structure includes four short double-helical elements and three loops (D, anti-codon, and T loops).
Source: RNAcentral
CGCGGGGUGGAGCAGUUUGGCAGCUCGUCGGGCUCAUAACCCGAAGGUCGUAGGUUCAAAUCCUACUCCCGCAACCA